UUUUGAAAGGAUUGAAGCCAGUCGUACCUAUGGGUAAUCAGCCUUUUGGGUGUGAUUCUGUGGAGUGUGAAGAGUUAAACGCCUUCAUGCCUGCAUAUUCGUGCACUUUGGGUGUAUUUGCCCGUGUGGUAGGUUAACAUCAAUUUUGGUUGUCAUAAAACGGCUGGAGGAAUGUAGCUUCGAUCUCGUAUUGAAGUGUUAUAGACUUCGGUAGAUGUGACGAUCGAGAUUGAGGAUUGCAACGGAUACCCUUCGGGGCUACCUGUCUGAUCUCUGAUUGUUGCUCUGGUGCCGAAAGCGUGCUUACGGUUAUCAAAGUCGAUGAUCAAUAGGUUAGAACGGGUUAAAUUCGUUAAGGAUUGACGUAA
Molecule: ribosomal RNA, 368 nt
Filed under: uncultured Glomeromycotina
Lineage: Eukaryota; Fungi; Glomeromycota
Description: LSU rRNA
Source: RNAcentral